RNAcentral lists this unclassified non-coding RNA (989 nucleotides) under Hevea brasiliensis (rubber tree). Lineage: Eukaryota; Viridiplantae; Streptophyta; Magnoliopsida; Malpighiales; Euphorbiaceae. The record is from RNAcentral.
GGACAAAGCAGUUGAACUGAAGGUUGAUGGGGAUGUACAAUUCUAUAAAAAUGUGAUGUACAGGUCUGUAUCAAUCUCUUUACAAUCAGGAUCCUUGCGAUAGUAAUUAAUCUUGUUCAGAAUUUCAAUUAUAAUGUUAUUUGGAAUUCAAAGAUAACUAUGGAAAUAUCCAAAUUAUACUGCAUACUCUUGCCCUCUACUCUUCAAUGUAUAUCUACACUUUUGUGCAUGUGUUUAGGUGUGUAUGUGUUGUAUUUGAAUUCUUUUUUAAUGAACAAUGAGAAGCCAUGGGAAAGAUGUUGUGUGGAGUGUAUAUUCAGCACGUGGAAGCAGGUAAUGCUGAUUUACGUUGUUGAUUGAUUUCACCUUUCUUUUCGUAUUCCCGUAUACAUCCACUGGAGCGUAUGUAGUGUUUUGUGGGGCUUUUGAAUUGACAAUAGCGUUUUCUCAUUGUUCUAUGUUUAAAUCAAUCAUAUCUUUGUUAUUUAUUUUCUACAUUAACUGUACCCUUCUUUAUCAUGGAUCCAAAUUUUGAUAGUCCUGUGGAAAUUUGCUUGCAUCCUCAGUCUUAGCCCAAGAGCUAAUUCUGUUUCUGUGGUUGGUGGUCAAUAGGUCAUGGUCAUCAGUGUGACAAGUAUCAAAUGAUUUGGUUUGCUUCCAGAUGUGUCUAAAACUUAAGGGGUAGUAAAAUCUGUAUGACUGCACAACCAUAGAAAAGGACAUCUUGUGAAACUAAUUAUACACCUUUAUGGUGUUCCUGAGUCCUGACUGUGGCAGUAUAUUCCUGCAUCACCUGUAAUACUUGGCAUCUACUUGAUAUGAGAAUUCAUUUGGUCAAGUAAUUGUGUACAAUGUGUCUGAGAAUUCUCAUGGUAAUACUAGUGUCUAAGAUUUGUAUCCUCACUUUUCACCUUUUUCCGUUUGUAGGGACUUGAUGAGUCUUUUGGGAGGUGCCACUGUCGGAGUGCAUUCCAUGACAGACGAACACU